AUUGAACGCUGGCGGUAGGCCUAACACAUGCAAGUCGAACGCGAAAGUCCUUCGGGAUGAGUAGAGUGGCGGACGGGUGAGUAACGCGUAGGAAUCUAUCCUGUAGUGGGGAGUAACGUUUCGAAAGGAACGCUAAUACCGCAUACGCCCCACCGGGGGAAAGGCGGGGGAGUCUUCGGACCUCGUGCUAUAGGAGGAGCCUGCGUCGGAUUAGCUAGUUGGUGAGGUAAAGGCUCACCAAGGCGACGAUCCGUAGCUGGUCUGAGAGGAUGAUCAGCCACACCGGAACUGAGACACGGUCCGGACUCCUACGGGAGGCAGCAGUGGGGAAUAUUGCGCAAUGGGCGAAAGCCUGACGCAGCCAUACCGCGUGUGUGAAGAAGGCCUCGGUUGUAAGACACUUCUAGUAGGGGAGGGAAAAGGACGGGUAGGGCGUAA
RNAcentral lists this ribosomal RNA (438 nucleotides) under uncultured bacterium. RNAcentral's name for it is "bacterial SSU rRNA". It matches the Rfam family "Bacterial small subunit ribosomal RNA", at positions 29 to 469 of the family's 1533-position model. The record is from RNAcentral.